Molecule: ribosomal RNA, 892 nt
Filed under: Wolbachia endosymbiont of Tamarixia dryi
Lineage: Bacteria; Pseudomonadati; Pseudomonadota; Alphaproteobacteria; Rickettsiales; Anaplasmataceae
Description: bacterial SSU rRNA
Rfam family: Bacterial small subunit ribosomal RNA
Source: RNAcentral
CCUUGGAACUGCUUUUAAAACUGCUAACCUAGAGAUUGAAAGAGGAUAGAGGAAUUCCUAGUGUAGAGGUGAAAUUCGUAAAUAUUAGGAGGAACACCAGUGGCGAAGGCGUCUAUCUGGUUCAAAUCUGACGCUGAGGCGCGAAGGCGUGGGGAGCAAACAGGAUUAGAUACCCUGGUAGUCCACGCUGUAAACGAUGAAUGUUAAAUAUGGGAAGUUUACUUUCUGUAUUACAGCUAACGCGUUAAACAUUCCGCCUGGGGACUACGGUCGCAAGAUUAAAACUCAAAGGAAUUGACGGGGACCCGCACAAGCGGUGGAGCAUGUGGUUUAAUUCGAUGCAACGCGAAAAACCUUACCACUCCUUGACAUGGAAAUUAUACCUAUUCCGAAGGGAUAGGGUCAGGUUCCGCCGCGCGGCGUUUCACCACAGGUGUUGCGAUGGCUGCUCGUCAGCUCGUGUCGUGAGAUGUUGGGUAAAUAAGUCCCGCAACGAGCGCAACCCCUUCAUCCUUUAGUUACCAUCAGGUAAUGCUGGGGACUUUAAGGAAUACUGCCAGUGAUACAACUGGAGGAAGGGGUGGGGAUGAUGUCAAGUCAUCAUGGCCCUUAUGGAGUGGGCUACACACGUGCUACAAUGGUGGCUACAAUGGGCUGCAAAGUCGCGAGGCUAAGCUAAUCCCUUAAAAGCCAUCUCAGUUCGAAUUGUACUCUGCAACUCGAGUGCAUGAAGUUGGAAUCGCUAGUAAUCGUGGAUCAGCACGCCACGGUGAAUACGUUCUCUGGGUCUUGUACACACUGCCCGUCACGCCAUGGGAAUUGGUUUCUACUCGUAAGCUACGAGACGUUAGCUCGCUGGCUCUGCGAAGAAGUGGAGUCAUCAGCGAGUACG